UUUGCCAAGUGUAAAUAGCUUGGAGAAUAAGUGGUGGGCAAGACUGGUGCCAGCCGCCGCGGUAACACCAGCGCCACGAGUGGCUAUCACGAUUAUUGGGCCUAAAGCGUCCGUAGUCGGUUCUGUACAUCUUCUGUGAAAUCGUUGCGCUUAACGUAACGGCACGCGGAAGACACGGCAGAGCUUGAGAGCGGGAGGCGUGUAGGGUACUCCGGGGGGACCGGUAAAAUGGUAUAAUCCCCGGAAGACCACCUGUGGCGAAGGCGCUACACGAGAACGCAUCUGACGAUGAGGGACGAAAGCCAGGGGAGCAAACCGGAUUAGAUACCCGAGUAGUCCUGGCCGUAAACGCUGUCAGCUAGGUGUUGCGUGUUCCUUGUGAACUCGCAGUAUCGGAGCGAAGGUAUUAAGCUGACCGCCUGGGAAGUACGGUCGCAAGACUGAAACUUUAAGGAAUUGGCGGGGGAGCAC
Molecule: ribosomal RNA, 471 nt
Filed under: uncultured archaeon
Lineage: Archaea
Description: bacterial SSU rRNA
Rfam family: Archaeal small subunit ribosomal RNA
Source: RNAcentral